Manis javanica (Malayan pangolin) is the source of this 875-nucleotide non-coding RNA. Lineage: Eukaryota; Metazoa; Chordata; Mammalia; Pholidota; Manidae. The record is from RefSeq and is a predicted model, not a curated record.
CAGGUUAUCUCCGUGAAGUCUUCACUUCCAGCUAAUAAGGUGGAUGUGAUUGUCACCCCUGUAUGACCCCCGAGGAAGCUGAGGGUCGGAGAAUUGCAUACAGGGACCCCCGAGUCGAGGAGCCCCGUGGAAGCCAUUUGUUAAGGCAGAGUUCGAUGGCGGGGAGCUGGAUGAGCAAAUACAGGCUCCACGAGGCAAAGUGACUUACCCAAGGUCACACAGCUGCCAACUGCUUGUUGGCCAGGACUCAAGCUCACACCUGGGGGUUACCCACCUGCCUACGCUUACAGGAUGCUCCCAACUAAGGCAGAACUGUGGUGGGGAUGGCAGACCCUUGAGGAAUCGUGUGGAAUGUUUCACCUGCUUCUAAUCCUAAGUGCAGCUUUCUGAAGCGAGAGCCCUUAUUAUCCCAGUUUCACUGAGAAACCAGGACUUCGAGAGCUGCCAUCACUCAGCCAGGUCACCCAGAGGGUCUAACAGAAUAACCCAGGACUGAAGUUCAGAUGCUUCAGGAGGCUUUCACUUCUUGCAGCCUUGGUUUCCCCAUCUGCAAAGUAGGGCAACUCAUACCCACCACCCUGUUUGUGUGUGUCGGGAAGAACUCAGCAGGAUGGAUGAGGGUCUUGGGGGAGGGGGCACAGCUCAGAGUUCCUGUCAGAGUCGCCUCAGCUCUCAGGUCCUUCUGCUGUUGGGUUGGCUUGGCUGCUCUGUUCUGCUGACCUGCCAUGGAAAGAGGAGCAUGCCUGGGGAGCUUCUCCUUCAGCCUGGCUCCUGAAGACAUGUGAGCAGGCUUGAACUUGACCUGAAGCCUCAAGAGAAGACUUACUUAAGCAGACCUAGACCUACAGACCCAGAAGCAUGAGAAUAAAUCCUAG